RNAcentral lists this ribosomal RNA (949 nucleotides) under Paratetraonchoides inermis. RNAcentral describes it as "16S ribosomal RNA". The stretch from base 722 to 880 matches the Rfam family "Archaeal large subunit ribosomal RNA", at positions 2542 to 2701 of the family's 2987-position model. The record is from RNAcentral. Lineage: Eukaryota; Metazoa; Platyhelminthes; Monogenea; Dactylogyridea; Tetraonchoididae.
UUUAAAAUAAUUUAAAUUAAUAUAGGUAUUUUACCUUUUGCAUCAUGAUUUAAUGAAUAUUUUUUUAUAAUAAAAUUUUUCGAAAAAAUAAGAUUUUUAAAAUAUCUAAAAAAUAAGUAAUUUUUUUAAAAAAUUUUAAAGAAGUGAUAAAUUAAUCGUUUAUUUUUAUAACUAAUUAAAGUAUUAAAAUUUUAAAAAUAUUUUUUAUUAAGAGAUAAAAAAUAACAUAUUAUAUUGUAUUAUAUACUAAAAAUAAGAGAUUAAAAUUAUCUUAUUAUAAAAUUUUAUUAAAAAAUCAAAAUAAUAUAAAAAUUAUAUUAAAUUUUACUUUAAAUAAAUUUUUUAAAAAAUAAUAUGUUAAAAUAAGUAGUUAUAAUAAUAAUUAUUAUUCUCAUUUUAAUUCGAUAUGUUUAUUAAAAACAUUUUUACUUUUAUAUAUAAGUAAUAAGGCCUGCUAAAUGGGAGUAUAUUAAUAGCCGCAGUAUUUUGACUGGGCUAAGGUAGCAUAAUUAUUUGCUUUUUAAAUAAAAGAUUGUUUGAAUGGUUUGAUUGAGUUAAUGAAAAAAAAUUAUUUAAAUUAAUUUAGAAUCUUUAUACAGAUCUAAAGAUAUAAAUUUAAGAUGGAAAGACCCUAAGAGUUUUAAUUAAUAAAUUUAUUUGGGGUAAAAUUUUAUAAAUUAUAAAUAUUAAGAUUUAUGAUUAUUGAUUAAGUUACCUUAGGGAUAACAGGGUUAGAAAUAAAGAGAGUUCUUAUCAAUUUAUUUAAUUGCCACCUCGAUGUUGACUUAAAAAAUCUUAUUAAUGCAGAAGUUAAUUAAGAAGGCCUGUUCGGCCUUUAAAUUUUUUUAUGAGUUGAGUUUAGACCGAUGUAAAUCAGGUUAGUUCUUAUCUAAAAUUCUAUUUUAUUAGUACGAAAGGAUUAUAAAAUUUUUAAUUUAAUUAAAUAUUA